CCUACGGGGGGCUGCAGUCGAGAAUCAUUCGCAAUGGGCGAAAGCCUGACGGUGCGACGCCGCGUGCAGGAUGAAGGUCUUCGGAUUGUAAACUGCUGUCGUGAGGGAGCAACGGCCACCGGGCUAACACCCCGGAGGCGUGAUAGUACCUCAGGAGGAAGCCACGGCUAACUCUGUGCCAGCAGCCGCGGUAAUACAGAGGCGGCGAGCGUUGUUCGGAUUUACUGGGCGUAAAGGGUGCGUAGGCGGUUCCGUAUGUCGGAUGUGAAAUCUCACGGCUCAACUGUGGAAUGGCAUCCGAAACUGCGGGGCUGGAGUACCGGAGAGGAAAGCGGAAUUCUAGGUGUAGCGGUGAAAUGCGUAGAUAUCUAGAGGUACACCGGUGGCGAAGGCGGCUUUCUGGACUGAUACUGACGCUGAGGCACGAAAGCUGGGGGAGCAAACAGGCUUAGAUACCCUAGUAGUC
RNAcentral lists this ribosomal RNA (466 nucleotides) under uncultured bacterium. RNAcentral's name for it is "bacterial SSU rRNA". It matches the Rfam family "Bacterial small subunit ribosomal RNA", at positions 338 to 795 of the family's 1533-position model. The record is from RNAcentral.